Molecule: transfer RNA, 72 nt
Filed under: Candidatus Levyibacteriota bacterium
Lineage: Bacteria; Candidatus Levyibacteriota
Description: tRNA-Cys
Rfam family: tRNA
About the family: Transfer RNA (tRNA) molecules are approximately 80 nucleotides in length. Their secondary structure includes four short double-helical elements and three loops (D, anti-codon, and T loops).
Source: RNAcentral
GGCGCGGUGGCGAAGUGGUAACGCGGGAGUCUGCAAAACUUUUAUGCGAGGGUUCGAUUCCCUUCCGCGCCU